Molecule: long non-coding RNA, 1033 nt
Organism: Seriola aureovittata
Lineage: Eukaryota; Metazoa; Chordata; Actinopteri; Carangiformes; Carangidae
Exons: 2
Source: RefSeq, a predicted model, not a curated record
UCCCCUCUCAGCUGCACUAAUCUAAUGUGAGAAGGGGGGGGGGGGGGCUGUUAACUCAAAGAUGGACGGCUGAGGUGACUCUGCUUAGGUAACCUUUAGAGAGGAGGAAACUGGGUCCAAACCAGUGACAUGAAUGGAGGGAUAUUGGAUAUUGGAGGGAUACAACAACCCUGUGCACUCAAAAAGGCUCCCACUGCAGACCUCACUGUAAUGGAUUACCUAUUCUUUUUUCUUUUGGGUUGUGUUUUACCGAGAUACAUGAACCAGUGCCAUGAACGCACUUAAAUCUGAGCCACCUAACAGUUUGCGACAAAACAACCAAGCAAUCAUCAAAAUCACACAGCAAACUCUUUCAAAAUAAAUCAGUGUCUUUUAAAACCAAAAUUCAACAAAAGAAAAGUCCAAAUAAUAUUCAUCAACAUAAGGAGUCAGGGGCUCAUCAACAACCACCAAAAAAUUAAGGUUGUUCAGUUCCGUUUCUUAAAUUUGCCUCAGAGUGAAACCUCUUCCCAAACAAAACAAUAUUGGAUCUUUGGUCACGUUUCAGUUCAGUUCAGUUCUUUUCAGCCACGUGUGACUCAUCUUCUCAGAUAAAUCCUUAGAAGAUCUCUGGCAACGUUUGUUUGUUAAUUCACUACAUUUCUAACCGAGUGAAUCCUCUCCCAUCAGAUUAAAAGUGGAUCUUUGACAAAAAAAAGUAAAAAAUCUCCGACGUUGUCUGAGUUAUCAGCGGUACCGGGGCAGGUAGUUUCUCCGAUCCUGCCGGAUGUAAGAGCCCGGGUUGUUUGGAGGCUGGAAGGAAGCGCGGGAAGUAUUUACUGACCGCAGACUGUACACGGAGCCGGAGAUAGACACUAGCUACAACCACAACCGACACGCUGCAACACAGGCCCGGCCUCUCCUCCAGCGGUGUGGAGAAUAUGAUCUAUAUGCCGAGGCAUCUCUGUAGCACCACAAUGCUUCAUUUAUGGUCUGUUGUGACACAUUUCACCUUUAUCAAAUAAAGAUUGCAGCUCUUGCGAUUUGGAUAUUG